This 878-nucleotide ribosomal RNA is filed under the name uncultured bacterium. RNAcentral describes it as "bacterial SSU rRNA". It matches the Rfam family "Bacterial small subunit ribosomal RNA", at positions 96 to 953 of the family's 1533-position model. The record is from RNAcentral.
UGGCGGACGGGUGAGUAACACGUGAGUAAUCUUCCUACGAGAGAGGGAUAACUUUGCGAAAGCGAAGCUAAUACCUCAUAAGACCACAGUACAUAAGUACCGGGGUCAAAGAUGGCCUAUGCUUGCAAGCUAUCACUUGUAGAUGAGCUCGCGCACCAUUAGCUUGUUGGUGGGGUAAUGGCCUACCAAGGCAACGAUGGUUAGCCGACCUGAGAGGGUGAUCGGCCACAUUGGGACUGAGAUACGGCCCAAACUCCUACGGGAGGCAGCAGUGGGGAAUUUUGCGCAAUGGGGGAAACCCUGACGCAGCGACGCCGCGUGGAGGAUGAAGGCCUUCGGGUUGUAAACUCCUUUUAGGUGAGACGAAUCCUCGGCUUGAAAAUAUCGAGCCGGUCUGACGGUACCACCAGAAAAAGCCCCGGCUAACUCCGUGCCAGCAGCCGCGGUAAUACGGAGGGGGCAAGCGUUGUUCGGAAUUAUUGGGCGUAAAGCGCGCGUAGGCGGUUAAAUAAGUCAGGCGUGAAAGCCCACGGCUUAACCGUGGAAUUGCGCAUGAAACUGUUUAGCUAGAGUUCAGGAGAGGAGAGUGGAAUUCCCAGUGUAGCGGUGAAAUGCGUAGAUAUUGGGAGGAACACCGGUGGCGAAGGCGACUCUCUGGACUGAUACUGACGCUGAGGCGCGAAAGCGUGGGGAGCAAACGGGAUUAGAUACCCCGGUAGUCCACGCUGUAAACGAUGGGUACUAGGUGUAGGAAGCUUCAACCCUUUCUGUGCCGCAGCUUACGCAUUAAGUACCCCGCCUGGGGAGUACGGUCGCAAGGCUAAACUCAAGGAAUUGACGGGGGCCCGCACAAGCGGUGGAGCAUGUGGUUUAAUUCG